Long non-coding RNA from Rattus norvegicus (Norway rat), 9540 nucleotides. RefSeq lists it as uncharacterized. The record is from RefSeq and is a predicted model, not a curated record. Lineage: Eukaryota; Metazoa; Chordata; Mammalia; Rodentia; Muridae.
UUGCCCAGUUCCACACUGGGUAGGCCUCCUGGACUUCUGAAAAGCUUCUGCCCUUUUUGGUUCAUUGACAGAUGGUGCCACAGGCCAGCAGCUACCUGAAGCUGGAGGGACAAUGGCCCAAUGAGACAGCCAUAAACAUUGCAGCUGCCUCGAGUUCCUCAGAGCAUCAGGCUUAACCAAAAAGCCAGAGCUAACUGCACAAGUGGGCACCUGCAUGUCCUCUGAAGUCCCAGGAAGGGGCAGAGACAAGGUUCUGAUGAGCUUGGGCAUUUGGGAUAUUCUAGAGAAUAGAGACCUGCUACAUUGUAAGAAUCACCUCGUGGAGACAGAAAGGCAUGUCGGCUAGCACUGGCCAAGGUGGGCCUAGGUGGCUGAGGAGAUAAGGGAGCCUGUUGUCAAGCCCGACUACCUGAGUUCAAUCCCUGAGUCCUCAAGAUAGAACAGAGAGCUGAUGGCCACUGGUUGUUAUCUGACCUCUGUGAGCCAGCUGUGGCAUCUGUGUGCUGCACCAACCAACCAAUCAAAAACUAGAUCAAAGAUAGAAUCAUGUCUUCGCCUGUGACUUCAGGGUAUAUUUUAAAACCAGUCACUGGUCACUGGUUUGUAUUUCUUCUGCGAAGCAUACCUUCCAGGAACUAAAUGUCUGAGGGAGACUGGGGGAAUCUCGGAGAUGAAGGCCAUCUCUGGGCAGGGCAGCCUUGUAGGUUACACAGAGAGAAAACUGAGUAACACCCCAUUCACUCAGCCAGCAUGGAGUCCCUGCCACUCCUAAGUGUGGAGUCCCCACAGGUUGGCUUACGUUCUACAACCAUGUGACAGCUUUCGAAGUAUCCCUACUUCCUGGCAAUGAAAGCUCUUCGAGAUCCAGUCUGAUUGCUUUCUGACGUGAGUUUUGAAAUCCUCCUAGACAAGCCGCCAAGAAGCAGACCUGGAGCCUCACAGAGACCAAAGCCGAAAACUCAAAAGUUCAAGGCUUUCCUUCUUAAGUUACAGAUCGAGUCCGAGGCCAUCUGGACAACUUAAUAAUCUGGAGCAGAGGGACGAGCGGACCGUCUGUGGUUGAGACUGGGUUCAAAAACAGAAGUGCACUUCUAGAGACACAACAUGGAGCGGUGUGUGUUCCAGGCAGCGCUGCCAGAACUGGCCCCCGAGGAGCAAAGCUGUGCAGUGCCCGUGGAUCCGCACUGUAGAUUAAAGGGUGCCUGGGGCUCUAGCCCUGACUUCUGCUUCUAGAAGAAUUUCCUGUUCUUAACCUACAGUGAAGAACUUCGGGAUGUUAAUUUGGCAUUCAAAGUAACCACAGACAAGCCAGCAAUGAGCAGUAAUGACGUCUAUGGCUAAGCCCGAUGACCUGAUGACCUGAUAACCUGGGAUCUACAUGAUGGAAAGAUUCCUGUAAGACCUCCACAGAUGCCAUGACACAUGACACCCACCUCAACACACACACACACACACACACACACACACAUACACACAAACAUACACACACACAGAGACACACAGACACACACACAGACACACCACACACACACACACACACAUACACACACAGACACACACACACAGACAAACACACACACAUACACAUACACACAUACACACACACAUACACACACACACACAGAGACACACAGACACACACACAAACACACACACAGACACACACACACACAUACACUUUUUUAAAAUGCAAAACAAUCGCUGAAACUAAUUGUUUAAAUUUCCCAAGUACACAGAAUUAAUUUUAUAAUAAAAUAUUUCUCAAUUGAUCUUAAAUACUUUCAGAACAACCGCUAAAUAAAUUGAGCUUUAAACAACAGCCCAUCGAUUGGGUGCCUACCAUUUGCCGGGCUCAGACUGGGCCAGAGUGCACCAAACAAAAUGGAGUGCUGUUCCUUCUACUGUGAACCACAUGGGUGUCACUGUGGAGUUUCUACAUAACGUGGACAGGGUCGCUUUAAUAAAUGUAGGGGCCCAAGAUGUGGGCACAGCUUCUGACCAAGGAACCUGGAUUUCAACCAGAAGUUCCUAAAUUCGUCUUUACUAAGACUAGCAUCCAAGGCUGGCAUGUAUGACUGAACUUUGUACCAAUAUUUCAACAUCUAUCUCCCUGUCCCAGAUCUAGAACGAAGCCCCAUGGACCCUGACCCGUUCCCAUCCCUUGUUCCCAAACACUCUGCAAACAUGGGGGUCAAGGUCCAGUGGCCUUACUGCUGACUCAGCCCGCACAAACAACUUCGUGUGAACAAGCACACACACGUAAGGGGAAGUGGGGCUGUUAGAGAUGCGAGGACUUAAUUUCAAAAUAAGUAAUGAUGUGCAUGAUCAAAGAGAACUGAAAUCUCACUAGUUCCCUGAUUUUGAGGUUAUUUUCCUUGGUAUUCCGGAAACUUCCUUAAAAUUAAACAACCCACUCUUGAUGGGACUUGCUUAUGUCUGACUUUUUUGUUUGAUUUUUGUUCGGAUUUGCUUGGUUUUGUUUUUUGAGGUGGUUGAUAGGGUCGUUAGCUGAGGCUGACUUCAAACUUGCCAACCUGCUCUGCUGCCCAGGUUGGCCUCAACUCACAGAGAUCCCUCUCCCUGACUCCCGAGUGCUGGGGUGGAAGGUGUGCUCCACCAUACCAGGUUUCAGACCUUUUUAUUUCUGUAUUUUUCAGAAUUGAUUUGAGAGAGCUGAAGACAAUGGGUCUUGCUCUCCAAAGGUUCCUGGGAGUCUUGGUGAGGGACCUCAUCAACAGAAAGAACAGACAUUUUGGUUAAUAAGACAAUCAAAAUUAUUAUUUCCUGUUAUCCCAGAAGCAAGGGGUGUGUGUGUGUGUGUGUGUGUGUGUGUGUGUGUGUGUGUGUGUGAAAUAGAGGUGUGUUUGUCAUUUGCCACCAAGCUACCCCAAGCACUGGCAACUGCUCCCCUGGCCUUCUUGCCCUACCUCCAGCUUUCUUCCUUUGGAUCAACAGAAGUAACGAAACAGUUUGUGCCCCCUUAAAUAGCAGUUUUCACUUAUCUCAACCCAGACCUGAGAGAGAAGCUGGGCAGCAUGAAGGUGCUGUUGAAGGGGAUCAGGAAUACAAACCCACCUUUGGCUAACUAGAGAACCGAGGUCAGUCCAGAAACUGGCCUCAGAAAAACGGACAGACUAACUGAAGAACAAGACCCUGAACUCCCAAAAGAGAAUAUUCCUGAUUCCAGUUCUCAGAUUACUGAUUUUGUCUACAGGGGCCAUGUACAGUAUCUGAAGACAUAUUUUUGGUUUCCACCAAGCAACAGUUUGGAUGCUCCUGGUGCUCAGUGGGCAGAGGGCAGGGAUGUGCUAAUGACCCACAGUGCACGGGUCCCUCCACCACAGAUAGGAAUAUGACCCUGGCAAUGACAAUGCAUACUUGUAAUCUCAUGGGAGAAAUAGAAAUCAGAGGGUCAGGACUUCAACAUCAUCCUUGGCUGCCAUGGAGUCCCAGGCCACGCCUCCAAUAAUAACAGAACGAUUCCACGGUAUCUCUUUUUCUACACAACAUAGACGUCUUCCCCAGGGAAUAAAGAUAGGCGUUCUUAAUCCAGUGUCUCCCAGCCAAACUCAGCUCCAUGUGCGGAUACUACAGAGUAUGAUGUAACAUAAAACGUGGGCUCGAGGGCUGGCUGAGUUCAGACCCUUGAACUUAAAUAUCAUUGUGAUAUUGAGCAACACACUCAACUUUCUGCCUCGGUUUCCUUAACCUUGAUCCUACAAUAUAAUAGUCCCCAUAGCACAGGCCGACCAUGCAGAGGCAAUGAAUCUUCAUGCAUAGGCUACAGAGUGGUGCUGUGUGGGGAAAGUGCUGGAUAACCUGUGCCUGGUUGCUGGGCAUUUGCUUUUCUUCACUCUGAAAGCAUCUAAUCCUAUCCAAGCCUCCCCGUGAAAACAGUUUCUGUAUGCAACACGGGGAACUCAGUGUUCUAUGGACAGUUUUCGUUCCAUGAGAUGCCUGCCUGCAUAUCUGCAAGCCACUGACAUGUGACUUCCUGCAGUGUCUGAGAGCAGGGGACCGAGUUCUCAAUUUUAUAUUCAUGAGAUGGGCGUGUCUCUCGGUCUACAGACGCUUCCCUAGCAUGCAAGAAACCCUGAGAUUGAUCCCAACACAACAUAAACUGGGCGUGGUGGCACACACCUGUAACGCCAGCACUCAAGAGGGCAAGAGGAUUAGAAUUUCAAGGCUAUUACUGACUACAUAAUAAGUUAAGGCCAGCCUGGGCUACAUAAAAAAAUGAUCCCAUUGAGCUGGAGAGAUGGCUCUGGGGUUAAAACACUGAUUGCUCUUGCAGAGGACCUGGGUUUGAUUCUCAGCACCAACAUGGCUACUCACAACCAUCUGUAAUUCAAGAGGAGCUGGGCUGGCUCUCCUGGUGGUGCUUGGCCUCUGUCCUGUGUCCUUCCUGAAGCUCAGGAGCUCAACCCUACUCAAAAGCCCACACAUGCCUCCACAGGCAUCCAUGACUUGAAUCUUGGGUGCAGGAGCUUGGCUGGGGGAUGUUGGAUUGAGGUCAGAUUAGUCUGACCCCAUGCAUUCCUGAAGGUGGCUAAAAGUCCCCUCGCUGGCUAAAACAUGGUCUGCUACACAGUCCAGCUGAGUUACCGCAGCCCUCUGGGAUUUCACUUCUAGGUGAGUGCCUCCGAGAACUGAAACAUAUGCCACAUCCCCAAACAUGGACACAAUGCUCACAGUGACAUUCGGAAUGAGAACUGAAAAGCAAAGAUAACCAAAGAACUUAUGAAUGGGUAACAAAGUACGAUACACCCAUAUGCUUGUCAUAAAAAGGAAAUAAACGUGGCUAAAUACCCAGAGAGAAAAACUUGGAAUCCACGUGGUGUAAGUUGUAAAGUGCUGGCUGUGUGAGCAUACGGACCCUAAUUCAACCAUCAGCAACCAUGUAGAAAGCAAGUGUGGUAGUUCCUGCUUGUAAUCAGUGCAGACGGACAGGCAGGCACGUCUCUGCGUCUUACUGGCCAGCUGGCCAGGGCAGGUCCCAGUGGGAGACCUUGUCUCAGAAAACAAGGUGAAUGGGUCCCAAGGAAUGACGGCUAAGUUUGUCUGGCCUCCAUACGUAUUCACACACAUGUGCUUCUGUAUCUGAGCACUGUGUCUCUCUGUCUCUCUGUCUCUCUGUCUCUGUCUAUCUGUCUUUCUCUCUCACACACAGGUCACACGUUGUAUAAUUUCAAAUGUCAAUUUACUGAGAUAAGGGGUGCCUAGCUGGACACAAAACACUCUUUCCAGAAAAGAUUGGAAUUUGAAUGGGAGAGCCCCUCCCGCAAAGCAGGUAGAGCUCAGACCUCUACCAGGGCCUCAAGCAUAGUGGGAGGAAGAGGGCUCCCCUCUCAGACAGAGCUGGGACACUAAUCUCCUCCUCCCUCAGACAUAAGUAUAACCAGCCCCAGACCUUGGACCCAGACUGAGCUGUUGGGGAUUGGUUCUAAUGCUUAGAAUUAAUCUAGUCCCCCAAAUCAGGAAUCUAUGUGUACAAACGCUGAAGGACCUUGUCCCCAAAUGGUUUUUGAUCAGUCAAUAAAGAGCCAACAGCCAAUAGUUGAGCAGGUAGACUGAGCCAGGACAUUUAAAUUUGCAUGGGCAAGGGACUGUGAGAGAGAAAAGGGAGGGACUGCCAUGUCUUCAAGGGAUUUCAAAUCAGAUUUAGAGCUGCAGAAGAAAAUUCAUCCAAAAUGUAGGUGGAAGGGAAAGGGCCCUGUGGGAAGGGCUGCCCAGAAGGUAACAGGGAAGCAAAGUCAAAACACAGAUUUAGGAGCCGUUGAGCCGGGAGUACUGGAGGGAAAUGUAUGCUAGCCAGGUGGAGGCUUAGAACCGCCUAACCUUUGAGCUAGUCAAGGCAUAUUUAAAAUUAACUGGGGCUGGAGAGAUGGCUCAGUGGUUAAGAGCACUGACUGCUCUUCCAGAGGUCCUGAGUUCAAAUCCCAGCAACCACAUGGUGGCUCACAACCAUCUGUAAUAGGAUCUGAUGGCCUCUUCUGGUGUGUCUGAAGACAGCUACAGUGUACUUAUAUAUAGUAAAUAAAUCUUUUUAAAAAAUUAACUGGUGUGCAUGCGUGCGUGUGUGUCUUUCAUUCACAAAUUCAGAUAGCUUUUGGGUGGGUAUGCGCGUGUGACCCAUCCGGCACACAAAGUGGGAUAGCCAAACUACCGCUACACUUCCUAAUUCAGACUGAGCCUCAGGUCACUGGCCUGAACUCUCCAAGACUGGAGCUCACAAACUUCACAGAACUCCAGCUUGCUGAUAGAUCCUGGGGUUUCUCAGGCUCCAAAAUCAUGUCAGUCAAGUUCUCAUAAUAAAUAUCCAUGUCUGGAUGGAUAUAUAUGUAUAUGUAUAUGUGUGUAAUGCAAUUAUUGAUUCCAUAUGAAUACACCCAUGCACACAAACAUGCAAAUAAACAUAAUACAUCUAUACAAACACAUACAUAUAUACACAUACACUUGCUUGCACACACACACACCCAUAACAUUCCUACAUAUAUACAUAGACACACAUACAUGUGCACACUUACACAUGUAUAUAUAUAUUUUUUUCUCUCUGUUUCUGGAAAAUUCUGACACAGAUUUCAUUUCUAUUAAAUGUUUGGAAUAAACACUUCUGAGUACUUUGGUGGCCCGUUGGGGGUUGGGGAAGAAGUGUUGGGGAGUGAUUGUCUCAUAGUACAGGGUUUCCGUCUGGGGUGGUGAAAUAAAUAUGGAAGGAGGUCAUGGUGCUGGUUGCACUCCGUGAGUAUACCCAAAGCCACAUUGAGCUUCAGACUGUCAGUGAGUUAAUGGUACACAAUUGCAUUUUAACUGAACAUAUGCACGAUACGGUCUCCUUGAUACAUGAUCUUGAGGCCCAUGUAGUCUAUUAUGAGACCCUGCUCAAAAGAAGAAAGCAUCUCGUGGGCUGGAGAUGCAGCUCAGCUUGGAGAGUGCUGGCCUAGCAUGAAAUCUUAGGCUCAGUGCCAGCACUCUAGACUGGGGAUGGAGGCACGGUCCUUGAGUCCCAGUACUAGGCAGGAAAGCCAGAAGUCCAAUGGGACUACAUAGGGAACUUGAGGCCAGUCUAGACUACACAACACCCUACCUCAAAAAUUAAAACAUCAACAACAAAACCAACCCUCAAACAAACAAAAAAUGCCGAGUUAGCAAGGGCGUGGAACAUUGGAAGCUUCUGCUGUCUGUCUGUCUGUAAAAUGUUGGCUGCUCUGGGAAACAAUUCAUAAGUUCCUCAAAACACAAAAAGAGAACUUUAUCCAGCCCACAGCCCCACUGCUGGGAAUAUAUGUAAGAGAAUUGAAGGCAGGGUCUCAAAGGUGGGGUGUACAAACCCGUUUUCCAGGUAGUGUUAGUCACCAGGCUCAAGAGGUGGAAGUCACCCAGUUGUCCAUACGUGAGUGUGACAGACUCAUAAAAUGGGCUAAUACUCAGUCUUAAAAGAGGAGAACAUUUGACAGAGGCAGGGGCAGGCAGACCUCUGAGUUUGAGGCCAGCCUGGUCUACAGAGUGAGUUCCAGGACAACACAGGGCUACACAGAGAAACCCUGUCUUGAAAAACCAUAAUAAAGAAAUGAAUGAGAGAGAGAGAGAGAGAGAGAGAGAGAGAGAGAGAGAGAGAGAGAACAUUAUAGUCAGUAAAGGAAGCUGCUGUGAUGGGCAAAUGCUUUGACUCCACUUUCAUGAAGUGGAGACAGGAAGCAGAAUGGUGGCUAACAGGUGGUUAAUAAGAAUGAAGAAAGGUUUGAUGGGCACGGAGUUUCACUCUCGCAGAAUUAAGAAGUUCUAAUUUACAGAAAAGCAAACUUACCCAACACUAUUGCCCUGCAUAUUGGGAAUAACAGAGGUCAGACGUUGUCUCCUAAAAAUAGCAUAAAAUAAAAUAAAAAACAGACUGGGUGUGGUAGCAUCGCCCUGUGAGUCCACACUCAGAGGCUGAGGCCCAAAGACAGGUUAAGGUCAGCCAGGGCUACAUAGGGACCCGGCCUCAAGAGAAUAACUACAAAGAAAAAGAAAUGCUAAGCUAGCUGGGAAACACACACACACACACACACACACACACACACCCCACACCCUCACAUAUACACUCCAUCUCACACACAAAUUCACACACAGACACACUGAUACACACAACUGACACUGACACACACACACACACACACACUGACAUGCUCAACUCAAAAACAUUCUUCCUCACAUACCCUCAUAAACACCACUCACACCCACAGUGACACACACAAACUCACACACUCAAUGACAUACACACUGACACACACAACUCACAUACAUACACCCUUACUAUCCUCAAACACUCACUCAUAUACAUACCCUCACACACACCCUCACCUCACACACUAAUACACACAACUUACAUACACUCAUACAAACACACUCUCACACACUCCCAUGCACACACAAGAUGGCAGGUAUGUGUUCUUCAACUGUGCUGUGGAAUUACACCCUCCACUGGUGUCCAAGGAACCAUAGCCACACACUGAACCUCCCUGAACUGGAACAGGUACAAUAAUGACAGGACACAUAUCAGGCACCCAGUAGAUGAAUGGUUACUGAGUGACCUCCUUAGCAGCUACACACUGAGGCUAAGCAGGUCCAACCUCUGCAUGUUACAGAUAGGCCGGUGGAGGCAAGGCAUGGUAAGUGACCUACCUGUCCACAAUCCCAAAGCCACUGAGCAAUAACAGAAGGGGACUCUGGCUAUAACCCUUUCUAUGAUAGCAUCUGACUUCAAAGUCAACAUGCAAUCAACACAGGAUUAGGAAUUUCCUACUGCAAAGUAGAGAAGAAAGUUUCUCGCAACGAUCUUCAUGCUAUACUACUGAUUCAGAGCUUUGGGGGAUCUUGGCCUCCUUGAUAAUGGAAUUCAAUUUUGAUUGUGUUUCACAUAUUUCAUAGAAUGACCUAUGUGAAGGAUAAGAGUUUUCAAAGAUUCCCAGACACCUCAGUUAAGAAUCCCCUUAAAUGCUUGCCUAAGUGCUGAGUUCAAGCCCUAUGUGGUCAGUUUGAUGUCAACGGACACAAGCUAGAGUUGUUUGGGAAGAGGACUCUCAACUGAGAAAGUGCUUCCAUAAGAUUGACCUAUAAUACGUAGUGCAUUUUUGUUGACUGAUGAUUGAUGUGGGGGUAGGGUGGAAGUCACUGGGGAUGGCACCACUCUUGGGCAGGUGGUCCUGGUUGUUAUAAGAAGCGGGCUGAGCAAGCCAUGGAGAGUAAGCCAGUAAGCAGCACCCUCCAUGGUCUCUGCUUCAGCUCCUGUCCUGAGUUCCCUCAGUGAUGAAGUGUGACCUGAGAGUUUAAGCCAAGUACGCCCUUUGCUCCCAAGUUGCUUUUGGUCAUGGUGUUUUUAUCACAGCAAAAGAAACUCCAACUCAGACAUUCUAGAACCACAUAAACCACGUGUGGUUGCUCACACCUGUAACCUCAGCACUCGGGAAGAAAAGGCAAGAGGAUCAGAACUUCAAGGUCAUCCUUGGCUAUACACUGAGUUUAAGGCUAGCCUAGGCUACAUAAGACCCUGUCCCCAGC